CUUCGAAUGAGGUGUGGGUAGGGGUGAAAGGCUAAUCAAACUUGGAGAUAGCUCGUACUCCCCGAAAUGCAUUUAGGUGCAGCCUCAAUUGAUUUUUUGUAUCAGGUAGAGCGACUGAUUGGAUGCGAGGGCUUCGCCGCCUAUCAAGUCCAGAUAAACUCCGAAUGGGUACAAAAUUAGAUUGGGAGUGAGGGCAUGGGUGCUAAGGUCCAUGUCCGAGAGGAGAAGAAUCCAGACCAUCUGCUAAGGUCCCUAAAUAACAGUUAAGUUGAACUAACGAAGUAUGGUCGCAGAGACAGCUAGGAUGUUGGCUUGGAAGCAGCCAUUCAUUUAAAGAGUGCGUAACAGCUCACUAGUCGAGUGACCGUGCGUGGAUAAUACUCGGGCAUAAACUGUUUACCGAAGCAAUGGACGUAUGUGAAUACGUGGUAGGGGAGCAUUCUACUCUGCGUUGAAGGCAAGGGAUAACCCUUUCUGGAGCGUGUAGAAAAGCAAAUGUAGGUAUAAGUAACGAUAAAGGGGGUGAGAAACCCCCUCGCCGAAAGACUAAGGAUUCCUGAUCAACGCUAAUCGGAUCAGGGUUAGUCGGGUCCUAAGGAUAAGCCGAAUGGCGAUUCCGAUGGCUGAACUGGUUAAUAUUCCAGUACUACUUUAUAGAGUGAUGUGGGGACGGAGAAGUGACACCACUGCCAUCUGACGGAAUAGAUGGUUAAAGGCUGUAGACGUUGAUUGGAGUAGGCAAAUCCGCUCUGAGAGUCGAAGCUGAUAGUACCAUGAGUGCCUGGCACGAGUGGAUAUGUGGGUAAUCAGGCUCCCUAGAAAAUCCGCUAAACUUAUCUAUAGAGUACCCGUACCGUAAACGGACACACGUAGUUGGGUUGAGUAUACUAAGGCGCUCGAGUGAUUCACGGUUAAGGAACUAGGCAAAAUGGUCCUGUAACUUCGGGAGAAAGGACGCCAGGGUAAAACCUGGCCGCAGAGAAUAGGCCCAGGCGACUGUUUAUCAAAAACACAUGGCUAUGCAAAAAAGUAAUUUGAAGUAUAUAGCCUGACACCUGCCCGGUGCUGGAAGGUUAAGAGGAGAUGUCAUGAGCAAUCAGAAGCAUUGAAUUGAAGCCCCAGUAAACGGCGGCCGUAACUAUAACGGUCCUAAGGUAGCGAAAUUCCUUGUCGGGUAAGUUCCGACCUGCACGAAUGGUGUAACGAUCUGGGCACUGUCUCAACCGUGAGCUCGGUGAAAUUGUAGUAUCGGUGAAGAUGCCGAUUACCCGCGAUGGGACGAAAAGACCCCGUGAACCUUUACUAUAGCUUUACAUUGAUUUUGGGCAAUGAAUGUGUAGGAUAGGCCGGAGACUGUGAAUCAGGUACGCCAGUAUUUGUGGAGUCAUCGUUGAAAUACGGCCCUUUCAUUGUCUGAGCUCUAACUCUUUAGUAAAGAGGACAGUGUAUGGUGGGUAGUUUGACUGGGGUGGUCGCCUCCAAAAGCGUAACGGAGGCUUCUAAAGGUACCCUCAGACCGAUUGGUAACCGGUCGUAGAGUGUAAUGGCAUAAGGGUGCUUGACUGGGAGAGAAACAGCUCGAUCAGGAAGGAAACUUGAGCAUAGUGAUCCGGUGGUUCCGUAUGGAAGGGCCAUCGCUCAAAGGAUAAAAGGUACUCCGGGGAUAACAGGCUGAUCGCUCCCAAGAGCUCAUAUCGACGGAGCGGUUUGGCACCUCGAUGUCGGCUCGUCACAUCCUGGGGCUGGAGAAGGUCCCAAGGGUUGGGCUGUUCGCCCAUUAAAGUGGCACGCGAGCUGGGUUCAGAACGUCGUGAGACAGUUCGGUCUCUAUCUAUCGUGGGCGUUGGAGAUUUGCGAGGCUCUGACACUAGUACGAGAGGACCGUGUUGGACAGACCACUGGUUUACCGGUUGUACCGCCAGGUGCAUUGCCGGGUAUCUACGUCUGGAUUGGAUAAGUGCUGAAAGCAUCUAAGUACGAAGCCAGCCUCAAGAUAAGAUCUCCUUAUAAGGGUCGUUGUAGACUACGACGUUGAUAGGCUA
This 2042-nucleotide ribosomal RNA is filed under the name Parabacteroides sp. OttesenSCG-928-G07. RNAcentral describes it as "partial 23S ribosomal RNA". It matches the Rfam family "Bacterial large subunit ribosomal RNA", at positions 798 to 2863 of the family's 2925-position model. Lineage: Bacteria; Pseudomonadati; Bacteroidota; Bacteroidia; Bacteroidales; Tannerellaceae. The record is from RNAcentral.